GCUUAGCUCAGCUGGUUCAGAGCAUCUGCCUUACAAGCAGAGGGUCGGCGGUUCGAAUCCGUCA
RNAcentral lists this transfer RNA (64 nucleotides) under bovine gut metagenome. It matches the Rfam family "tRNA", at positions 7 to 64 of the family's 71-position model. From Rfam's summary of the family: Transfer RNA (tRNA) molecules are approximately 80 nucleotides in length. Their secondary structure includes four short double-helical elements and three loops (D, anti-codon, and T loops). The record is from RNAcentral.